RNAcentral lists this ribosomal RNA (253 nucleotides) under uncultured bacterium. RNAcentral describes it as "partial 16S ribosomal RNA". It matches the Rfam family "Bacterial small subunit ribosomal RNA", at positions 524 to 776 of the family's 1533-position model. The record is from RNAcentral.
UACGAAGGGGGCUAGCGUUGUUCGGAAUUACUGGGCGUAAAGCGCACGUAGGCGGUUUGUUAAGUCAGGGGUGAAAUCCCGGAGCUCAACUCCGGAACUGCCUUUGAUACUGGCAAGCUAGAGUCCGGAAGAGGUAAGUGGAACUCCUAGUGUAGAGGUGGAAUUCGUAGAUAUUAGGAAGAACACCAGUGGCGAAGGCGGCUUACUGGUCCGGAACUGACGCUGAGGUGCGAAAGCGUGGGGAGCAAACAGG